This 352-nucleotide ribosomal RNA is filed under the name uncultured bacterium. RNAcentral describes it as "partial 16S ribosomal RNA". It matches the Rfam family "Bacterial small subunit ribosomal RNA", at positions 338 to 687 of the family's 1533-position model. The record is from RNAcentral.
CCUACGGGGGGCAGCAGUGAGGAAUAUUGGUCAAUGGCCGGAAGGCUGAACCAGCCAUGCCGCGUGAAGGGCAGGGGCCUAGGGGCGUUAAACUUCUUUUGUGCGGGAGCAAAAAUGGUCACGUGUGGCCAGACGAGAGUACCGUACGAAUAAGCAUCGGCGAACUCCGUGCCAGCAGCCGCGGUAAUACGGGGGAUGCAAGCGUUAUCCGGAUUUAUUGGGUUUAAAGGGGGCGUAGGCUGUGAGGUAAGUCAGCGGUGAAAUGCCCCCGCUCAACGGGGUGAAGUGCCAUUGAUACUGCCUUCCUGAGAUGCGGAUGCCGUGGGGGAAGUGUGUGGUGUGGCGGUAAACU